Molecule: long non-coding RNA, 2543 nt
Organism: Mus caroli (Ryukyu mouse)
Lineage: Eukaryota; Metazoa; Chordata; Mammalia; Rodentia; Muridae
Source: RefSeq, a predicted model, not a curated record
GAGAGCAAAGUGUGAAUGUGGGCUGGAGACAGGCCUGGGACUGUUAGGACCUGAGUCUGACCGUGGCUCUGGCAUUAAGUUUCCUGUUGCCCUCAGGUCAGUACUAGUUUUGACCGUGGACAGCUGCGUGCUCUGGUUAUGGCAAGUGCAAUCAUACAUACCAACUGGCACUUCAGUCAGGGAUAGGCCAUGUAUAUGAUGAUCUGGGAAGACUAGACUGGAGCUGGAAAACCCUUGGCACCAAGUGAUCUCAUAAUGCUGUUCUACAUCAGGAAAUUAAAAAAAAAAAGCUUCCUGUAAAACAGUAGGCUACGUUAGCUCGGCAGCAGCCUUCCAUGUCUCCUCUGUUGCAGAUCUCUGGAUCGCAAUGUUCCCGCCGUGCCUGAUUUAAUCUUUAAUCACCAUCAAGAGAGCAAGAGGAAGGAUAGACUUGGAAGGAGAAUUAAAAGCAGUAAGGACUAUGGAGCUGGGAAAUCAGAAAUGGUUACUGAGUGCCAGUCAAUCAUGUUCUAUUCCAUCCAAGUUAUUGUCUUGAUGAAAAACCAGUAAGAGAAAUGGGAACCAUUAACGAAUCUGCUGGAAACCAUUAACAGAUCUGUUUCACAGAAGGCAACAGGACUGAGGGAAAUCCCACCAUGGCCUCUAUCACUUAAGGAGAGGCUCCCAGUGAUCGGGACUAAAGACCAGGCACAGAAGCACCACGGUAACCAGAACCAAAGCACAGAGGAUGAUCUCACCGUUGAAAGAGAAGGCCAAGCAAUGAUGCUGGGUUACUAUUAACUCUGGGUGAAUUAUGAGGUUAAAAAAAAAAGGAAUUAUUCACUAUGUAAUAUGCACAGAAUGUCAAGUCUCUGAAUACCAACGUGAAGACAGUUAAACUUGGAAACUCUGGGUUAGGUGACUUCAGGGGAAAAUGAUUUACUAGAGCAAACGUUUAACGUGCUCUGUUUUGGAAAUGAAUGCCUGAUGGGACUUUCACCUUUAGGAGGGCAUUGCCAGUGCUGGGUUUAAAGCUUCCAAAGACAGAUUACAGUCUGGCUUGAGAGCACUGAUGCAGGCUACAGGCUACAGGUUGAAACCCUUUGUGAUCCACUGCCAGUGUGCAGCAGGAAUAGCAAGUCUUGGUAACACAUGGUAACUCAUGAUGCUCUCUCUUGAAUGGCCAUGCCAGCAAAGUAGAGAAGCAUUGCCUAGAAAAAGAUCUCUCUGAUGUUAAUAAUGUCCCCACACUUCCUCUUCUCCUCUUCCUUUGCUCCCUUAUCCUCUUCCCCAUAUCCCUUCCCCCCCCUCCACAUGCUCAUGGCUCUCUCUCUCUCCCUCUCUCCCUCCUUCCCUCCCUCCCCCUUCCUCUCUCUCCCUACCUCCCUCUCUCUGCCUUUCUGUCUCUACUACCCCAUCAACUUCCCUUCUCAUGCCCUACAUAAACUCUAUUCUAUACUAAAAAUAAGAAAUAAAAAAAUGACCCCACACUUUGUCCCUUUGCUGGAACUCACAUCACAAUAUCAAAGUUAUAUUCCCUCCACCCCCUCAAAUACCACUCUCUGCUUUGCCCAAGCCAUUGCUUGUAAAGACACAGAUGCAUUCUUGGGAGAUUAAAACAUCCAUGAAUGGAUGGAAACUUACUUGGAUUCGAGGUGCUAUCAUCAAGGAGUAUAAGGAUGGCAUCUGAAAGAAGACAAGGACUUUGCCCAUAGUUUUAAAUGGCUCACCAAGGAUGAGGGGCUUGCAAAAUUCUAACAGCAAACUUGACCUAGGCAUGGCUGAGGGUGACAUCUAGGAGCUCCCGAGGAAGUGGCUAAUGAAGAGUUGUUGGCACAAGAAGAGGGACGGGAGGAUGAAGAAGAGAUAAGAAAAUAGAAACUAACGGAGUCAAAGACCACUCAAAAGGAGUUGAGGCCAAGAAGGGUCGCAGAAUCCAGCAGAAGUUUCUGCAGCCCUCAAUGAACCCCAAAAGUUUGGAAAUAUGGUGAUCCCAAGACCAUAAAUUUUCGUGAGUUGGGAGGAAUUCUCAAGGUGUGUUGUCUGUUUAAGAUCUGUGGCAGGGAAAUAUUGCAUGGCAACGCUUCACCGGGUGCCAUGGUGUCUUUCGGUGUUUUCACAUUACAGCAAUGGCUUGCUCAGAGCAGAGAGUGGUGUUUGGAGGAAAAAUAUUUCGGAAUUGUGAUACAAGCACAUUGCCAGUAAAGGGGUGAGGUGUGUGGCAACAUUAUCAACAGAGAGGAAAACCUUGAAAGAUGUUUCCCUAAGCAAUGUUUCUCUGCUUCGCUGGCACGGCACCUCCAGAGAGCAUCUUGGGAGGAGAGCCUGUCACGAUGCUCCUGCUGCAUCUUAUUGAUGUUCUCCAAUAAGAGCGUCAGGCAAGGCCUUCAGGAGAAAUUCCAGCAGAAGGCCUUGCUGUCCUAGGAGGUGACAGCUCCCUGUGAGUUAUUACCCAGAAGUCUCUCUGGGGAGAAGAGCUGUGGAGGUCAAGAACUCUGGAAGUCUACCCCUGUGGAGCUCCAGGCUUGUAACUUGAUUGUUAAACAAAAAAAAUUUAAAGUAAA